RNAcentral lists this ribosomal RNA (305 nucleotides) under uncultured bacterium. RNAcentral's name for it is "bacterial SSU rRNA". It matches the Rfam family "Bacterial small subunit ribosomal RNA", at positions 333 to 631 of the family's 1533-position model. The record is from RNAcentral.
GGGUACCUACGGGGCGCAGCAGUAGGGAAUUUUCGUCAAUGGGCGCAAGCCUGAACGAGCAAUGCCGCGUGAACGAGGAAGGUCUUCGGAUCGUCAAGUUCUGUUGAAGGGGAAAAAGAGCGGAGAGAGGAAAUGCUUUCUGAUUGAUAUUACCCUUCGAGGAAGUCACGGCUAACUACGUGCCAGCAGCCGCGGUAAUCCGUAGGUGGCGAGCGUUAUCCGGAAUGAUUGGGCGUAAAGGGGGCGUAGGCGGCCUGCUACGUCUGGAGUGAACGGUACCGGCUCAACCGGUACAGGCUCUGGAA